This is a non-coding RNA of Microcebus murinus (gray mouse lemur), 362 nucleotides long. The record is from RefSeq and is a predicted model, not a curated record. NCBI's taxonomy places the organism in Eukaryota, Metazoa, Chordata, Mammalia, Primates, Cheirogaleidae.
UGCAGAAUAAAAACAGAGAAGCAAAGCACAGCAUGGUAGUCUUGCAUUGAAGAGACACAGACUGGAGUUUGGAGAGACUGAAAAUGCUACAAUUUGCAGGUUCUAAACAGAUUAUUGCCUAUUGAUGGUGAAUGAUGAUUGUGGAGCUUUAUUUCAUGAAAAGUGAAUGCUACACAACUAUACUUACUGAUUACUCAGGUUAUAUAAAUUCGACUAAAUUGGCUUUCUGAGACAUCGUGCUGUCCAGAUAUUCUUCAGAGUCUUCAAGGUAAGUGGAAAGUUCUGAGAUAUGAGCAAAAAUACAGUGUAGAUUUUAAGCUACAACACAUGCUAACUAUGUGAAUUUUUCUAAGAUAAACUCU